RNAcentral lists this ribosomal RNA (389 nucleotides) under Gyrodinium sp. RNAcentral describes it as "partial small subunit ribosomal RNA". It matches the Rfam family "Eukaryotic small subunit ribosomal RNA", at positions 582 to 975 of the family's 1831-position model. The record is from RNAcentral. Lineage: Eukaryota; Dinophyceae; Gymnodiniales; Gymnodiniaceae.
AUUCCAGCUCCAAUAGCGUAUAUUAAAGUUGUUGCGGUUAAAAAGCUCGUAGUUGGAUUUCUGCUGAGGACGACCGGUCCGCCCUCCGGGUGAGCAUCUGGUUCGGCCUUGGCAUCUUCUUGGUGAACGUAUCUGCACUUGACUGUGUGGUGCGGUACCCAGGACUUUUACUUUGAGGAAAUUAGAGUGUUUCAAGCAGGCAUACGCCUUGAAUACAUUAGCAUGGAAUAAUAAGAUAGGACCUCGGUUCUAUUUUGUUGGUUUCUAGAGCUGAGGUAAUGAUUAAUAGGGAUAGUUGGGGGCAUUCGUAUUUAACUGUCAGAGGUGGAAUUCUUGGAUUUACGAAAGACGAACAACUGCGAAAGCACUUGCCAAGAGUGUUUUCAUUA